CAGCCGCCGCGGUAAUGCGUAGGUGGCAAGCGUUGUCCGGAACUAUUGGGCGUAAAGGGCUCGCAGGCGGUUUCUUAAGUCUGAUGUGAAAGCCCCCGGCUCAACCGGGGAGGGUCAUUGGAAGCUGGGAAACUUGAGUGCAGAAGAGGAGGGUGGAAUUCCACGUGUAGCGGUGAAAUGCGUAGAGAUGUGGAGGAACACCAGUGGCGAAGGCGACUCUCUGGUCUGUAACUGACGCUGAGGAGCGAAAGCGUGGGGAGCGAACAGGAUUAGAUACCCCAGUAGUCCCUGUCUCUUAUAA
RNAcentral lists this ribosomal RNA (301 nucleotides) under uncultured bacterium. RNAcentral's name for it is "partial 16S ribosomal RNA". It matches the Rfam family "Bacterial small subunit ribosomal RNA", at positions 509 to 809 of the family's 1533-position model. The record is from RNAcentral.